Molecule: long non-coding RNA, 1192 nt
Organism: Mus caroli (Ryukyu mouse)
Lineage: Eukaryota; Metazoa; Chordata; Mammalia; Rodentia; Muridae
Source: RefSeq, a predicted model, not a curated record
AGCACUGCCCAGUGGAGGGACUAGGGUGCUUGGUCUCCAGGAAAGAUGGUGCCUCUCCUGUAACACUAGCACCUUAUAUCCUAAGCACUCAUGUUCUGGCUUUUUGUCUUGGUAUGGUUCCCACAGACUCCUGUGUUUAUUUGGCUCCCAGAUGGUAGCACAGUUUUAGAAGAUUGCAGAACCUUUAAGAGACUGCAGACUGGAAGUAAUUACCCACUCUUCAUUCCUGCUACUGUUGGGUUCUGAGCAGAAGCUGAGAAAACUCACUUCAGAUCUGGAAGCUUAGAAAAUGAAAGCUAUAUUUUCUGAGUGCUUAGAGAGGCAGCCAGUUCUGGAUCUGAACCGCAUCCCUAAAGAGAGAUUGCACAACAUUUUUAAAGGAUGGGAACGCAAAGUGAGCAGGAAGCUGGGAGACUUCUGAUUGGGUCGGAAGCCCUUGUGGGCAGAUGCCCUUGAGAAAGCACUUCUCCUGUAAGGCUCUGUACAAGGCUGUGAUUCCAGUCAGUCCUUAUCAGACACAUGGGAAAAGGUGGAACCCCUUCGGAGACCUCCCAGAUUUAUGUGAAUAACUUGGCUCUGUCAUAUCCCUCGGUCCUAAUCUGUCUUGUCAUGGUGAAGAAAGAGUGGAGCCCAUAAAUGUUGGACAAGGAGACAAAAGGAACCUUUUCCUGGAUGUUUCAUCAUAGCUGAGAAAAAUGAUCAGGACCAUUGCAAGCUAGAAAGCCAUCAACCCGUGAACACAAGGAUGUGUUCUGUAGUCAUGGAUUCAACCAACCACAGACCAAAAAUCUUCCCAAAAAGUCUAUCUUCACUGGGCAGGAUGUAGGCCUCUGUGGUCUUCAGAAGAUGUGGCUACAUGGUAAACCAAGCCCAGCAGCAAGUUAACAACCAACACUGCUCCUGGCUCAGCCAGGGACUGACCACAGUUAAGGGCUCCCUGUUUGUUUGAACUUACACACUCUACAUCUAUGAAGAUGCAAUGGCGCUUCCCUUCUCUUCUUUACUGAGGUCUUCAGCCCUGCAGUGAACAGCUCUCCAUCUGGGCAGUUGUGAAGAGGAUACACAGCACAGAGCAGAGCAUUGUUGCCCAGCUGAUGUGCCUCCCUCUUACGGGAGCCCUGCCCAGUCCCUAGCAGAACAUCUGUGGCUACAAUAGUUUCAUUUCACAUUUGGACUCUGUCACAGGCGUCAU